GACAACGUGUCCGAGUGGUUAAGGAGAUGGACUGCUAAUCCAUUGGGCUCUGCCCGCGCAGGUUCGAAUCCUGCCGUUGUCG
Molecule: transfer RNA, 82 nt
Filed under: seawater metagenome
Description: tRNA-Ser
Rfam family: tRNA
About the family: Transfer RNA (tRNA) molecules are approximately 80 nucleotides in length. Their secondary structure includes four short double-helical elements and three loops (D, anti-codon, and T loops). Further hydrogen bonds mediate the characteristic L-shaped molecular structure. tRNAs have two regions of fundamental functional importance: the anti-codon, which is responsible for specific mRNA codon recognition, and the 3' end, to which the tRNAs corresponding amino acid is attached (by aminoacyl-tRNA synthetases). tRNAs cope with the degeneracy of the genetic code in two manners: having more than one tRNA (with a specific anti-codon) for a particular amino acid; and 'wobble' base-pairing, i.e. permitting non-standard base-pairing at the 3rd anti-codon position.
Source: RNAcentral